AAGUCGUAACAAGGUUUCCGUAGGUGAACCUGCGGAAGGAUCAUUACCUAGAGUUGUAGGCUUUGCCUGCUAUCUCUUACCCAUGUCUUUUGAGUACCUUCGUUUCCUCGGCGGGUCCGCCCGCCGAUUGGACAAUUUAAACCCUUUGCAGUUGCAAUCAGCGUCUGAAAAAACAUAAUAAUUACAACUUUCAACAACGGAUCUCUUGGUUCUG
This is an unclassified non-coding RNA of 214 nucleotides. The stretch from base 1 to 46 matches the Rfam family "Eukaryotic small subunit ribosomal RNA", at positions 1786 to 1831 of the family's 1831-position model.